Molecule: long non-coding RNA, 443 nt
Organism: Aegilops tauschii subsp. strangulata
Lineage: Eukaryota; Viridiplantae; Streptophyta; Magnoliopsida; Poales; Poaceae
Source: RefSeq, a predicted model, not a curated record
AUUAAAAGGAGAGAGAGCAGAGCAAGCCAUUGCCAAGACUUCACACAUCUCCAUUCUUCCCCAAAUAGCCAAACCUGCAGCUUGUCUUCCUCCCACUUUCUUCAUCUUUCUAUCUGCAACCAACAAAGAUCCAAGAACAAUAAGUAGAGAUGGUGACCUGAGAAAUCAUAGUAGAUCAAAGGAGGAAGGCUAGAGCAAGAAAUUAGCCUACUGGACUGGGAUCUGGAAGUAGGAGCAGCACUAGUAGGAACAGCAGAGAAGGCAAAAGAAGAAAGGAAGCAAACAAGACCCGGAGAAGGAAGCGCCACAGAAGCAAUUUGAGUUCGGAUCUGAGUACGAGAACUCAGGCAAGCUCUCCUUGAUCAUGUUGAGUAGAACUAUUUUUCAAAAACACUAUUCUCCGCUAUCUUAUCAUCAACUUGCAUAAAAUGUUUUGAGAUAAA